This 614-nucleotide ribosomal RNA is filed under the name Takifugu bimaculatus. RNAcentral's name for it is "partial 16S ribosomal RNA". It matches the Rfam family "Bacterial large subunit ribosomal RNA", at positions 1797 to 2619 of the family's 2925-position model. The record is from RNAcentral. Lineage: Eukaryota; Metazoa; Chordata; Actinopteri; Tetraodontiformes; Tetraodontidae.
CGCCUGUUUACCAAAAACAUCGCCUCUUGCUUCAGUGAAUAAGAGGUCACGCCUGCCCUGUGACUAUAUGUUUAACGGCCGCGGUAUUUUGACCGUGCAAAGGUAGCGCAAUCACUUGUCCUUUAAAUGUGGACCUGUAUGAAUGGCAUAACGAGGGCUUAGCUGUCUCCUUUCUCAAGUCAAUGAACUUGAUCUCCCCGUGCAGAAGCGGGGAUAAAACCAUAAGACGAGAAGACCCUAUGGAGCUUUAGACAAAAAACAGCCCCUGUCAAUAAACCCUAAAUAAAGGAAAUAAACCUAGUGAACCUGUUUUAAUGUCUUUGGUUGGGGCGACCGCGGGGUAACAAAAAACCCCCAUGUGGAAUGAAAACACCCUUUUUAAAACCAAGAGUCACCACUCUAGGAUACAGAACAUCUGACCAAUAAUGAUCCGGCUAAAGCCGAUUAACGAACCGAGUUACCCUAGGGAUAACAGCGCAAUCCUCUUUUAGAGUCCAUAUCGACAAGAGGGUUUACGACCUCGAUGUUGGAUCAGGACAUCCUAAUGGUGCAGCCGCUAUUAAAGGUUCGUUUGUUCAACGAUUAAAGUCCUACGUGAUCUGAGUUCAGACCGG